GAUGGGGGACAAUUUUCAAAUGUCAUUCACUUGAUGGAUGUGGAAGGGAAGCAGCAGGAGGUGAGGACGCCCCACCAGAAAGAAGCUGCCGCCUUGCUGUCAAAUUGUUAUUUUACCGCUUUGAGCUAGAACUGUAAUCCUGAGGUGCAGUGAUGAUGCAGUGAGAUGCUGUGAUGCUAUAUAGUUGCCAGAAGGACUAAUGUAUUCAUGGAGUCAUCCAGACAUACAAAUUAUAAGUGAAGCCCAGCAACUGGAAGAGACCACAAACCCUCCUGAGCGGGAAGUGUCUUGCAUGUUCCCAGGUUUGCUGGAAAUUCCAAGGACCACUGUAAUGCAAGUAAUGUAAAGCAACAUUUGGUCCAUGUUACUGCAAGAAGAGAUUGAAAAUGAAAAGGAAGACAUUAGGCUGGGGAGAACAUCAACAAGCAUCAGAUGAAGUUAUCAUCCAGGUUGGCUGUUAGCCAAGCUGCUGCAAGCCUGGUUGGAGUCUGCCUUAUGAAAUGCCACUUCCAGCAAAGUUAGAACCUGCCUGUGAACAUAGCAGGGCUGGAAAUGAGAAAGCUUUGAGCCAUCAGGGGGAUGAACUUUUGGAAGAGCCUUUUAUCAGGAUUCACUGAAGCAUACAGCCUUGUUUUAAGGUAAAGGGUUUUUUUUUCAGACUAUGAUAAGGUGAUGUGAUAUGUACCUGCAGUAUAAAGGGACUGUGCACUGUG
Long non-coding RNA from Gymnogyps californianus (California condor), 713 nucleotides. RefSeq lists it as uncharacterized. The record is from RefSeq and is a predicted model, not a curated record. The transcript is spliced from 3 exons. Lineage: Eukaryota; Metazoa; Chordata; Aves; Accipitriformes; Cathartidae.